RNAcentral lists this ribosomal RNA (497 nucleotides) under uncultured bacterium. Its description in RNAcentral is "partial 16S ribosomal RNA". It matches the Rfam family "Bacterial small subunit ribosomal RNA", at positions 28 to 507 of the family's 1533-position model. The record is from RNAcentral.
GAUGAACGCUGGCGGCGUGCCUAAUACAUGCAAGUCGAGCGAACGGACGAGAAGCUUGCUUCUCUGAUGUUAGCGGCGGGCGGGUGAGUAACACGUGGAUAACCUACCUAUAAGACUGGGAUAACUUCGGGAAACCGGAGCUAAUACCGGAUAAUAUUUUGAACCGCAUGGUUCAAAAGUAAAAGACGGUCUUGCUGUCACUUAUAGAUGGAUCCGCGCUGCAUUAGCUAGUUGGUAAGGUAACGGCUUACCAAGGCAACGAUGCAUAGCCGACCUGAGAGGGUGAUCGGCCACACUGGAACUGAGACACGGUCCAGACUCCUACGGGAGGCAGCAGUAGGGAAUCUUCCGCAAUGGGCGAAAGCCUGACGGAGCAACGCCGCGUGAGUGAUGAAGGUCUUCGGAUCGUAAAACUCUGUUAUUAGGGAAGAACAUAUGUGUAAGUAACUGUGCACAUCUUGACGGUACCUAAUCAGAAAGCCACGGCUAACUACGUG